GACGAACGCUGGCGGCGUGCUUAACACAUGCAAGUCGAACGAAGAGCGAUGGAAGCUUGCUUCUAUCAAUCUUAGUGGCGCACGGGUGAGUAACGCGUAAUCAACCUGCCCUUCAGAGGGGGACAACAGUUGGAAACGACUGCUAAUACCGCAUACGAUCUAAUCUCGGCAUCGAGGAUAGAUGAAAGGUGGCCUCUACAUGUAAGCUAUCACUGAAGGAGGGGAUUGCGUCUGAUUAGCUAGUUGGAGGGGUAACGGCCCACCAAGGCGAUGAUCAGUAGCCGGUCUGAGAGGAUGAACGGCCACAUUGGGACUGAGACACGGCCCAGACUCCUACGGGAGGCAGCAGUGGGGAAUCUUCCGCAAUGGACGAAAGUCUGACGGAGCAACGCCGCGUGAGUGAUGACGGCCUUCGGGUUGUAAAGCUCUGUUAAUCGGGACGAAAGGCCUUCUUGCGAAUAGUGAGAAGGAUUGACGGUACCGGAAUAGAAAGCCACGGCUAACUACGU
Molecule: ribosomal RNA, 509 nt
Filed under: uncultured bacterium
Lineage: Bacteria
Description: partial 16S ribosomal RNA
Rfam family: Bacterial small subunit ribosomal RNA
Source: RNAcentral